Molecule: ribosomal RNA, 366 nt
Filed under: uncultured bacterium
Lineage: Bacteria
Description: bacterial SSU rRNA
Rfam family: Bacterial small subunit ribosomal RNA
Source: RNAcentral
GACGAACGCUGGCGGCGUGCUUAACACAUGCAAGUCGAGCGGUAAGGCCCUUUCGGGGGUACACGAGCGGCGAACGGGUGAGUAACACGUGGGUGACUUGCCCUCAGCUCUGGGAUAAGCCUGGGAAACCGGGUCUAAUACUGGAUAUGACUCCAUGACGCAUGUUGUGGGGUGGAAAGCCUUGUGCGGCUGAGGAUGGGCCCGCGGCCUAUCAGCUUGUUGGUGGGGUGAGGCCUACCAAGGCGACGACGGGUAGCCGGCCUGAGAGGGCGACCGGCCACACUGGGACUGAGACACGGCCCAGACUCCUACGGGAGGCAGCAGUGGGGAAUCUUGCGCAAUGGGCGAAAGCCUGACGCAGCGACG